ACGAAGGGGGCUAGCGUUGUUCGGAAUUACUGGGCGUAAAGCGUGCGCAGGCGGCUGCUCAAGUCAGGGGUGAAAGCCCAGAGCUCAACUCUGGAAUUGCCUUUGAGACUGAGUGGCUUGAGUACGGGAGAGGUGAGUGGAAUUCCCAGUGUAGAGGUGAAAUUCGUAGAUAUUGGGAAGAACACCGGUGGCGAAGGCGGCUCACUGGUCCGGUACUGACGCUGAGGUGCGAAAGCGUGGGGAGCAAACAGGA
Molecule: ribosomal RNA, 253 nt
Filed under: uncultured prokaryote
Description: partial 16S ribosomal RNA
Rfam family: Bacterial small subunit ribosomal RNA
Source: RNAcentral